AAGGGACCUAGCGUAGUUCGGAAUUACUGGGCUUAAAGAGUUCGUAGGUGGUUGAAAAAGUUGGUGGUGAAAUCCCAGAGCUUAACUCUGGAACUGCCAUCAAAACUUUUCAGCUAGAGUAUGAUAGAGGAAAGCAGAAUUUCUAGUGUAGAGGUGAAAUUCGUAGAUAUUAGAAAGAAUACCAAUUGCGAAGGCAGCUUUCUGGAUCAUUACUGACACUGAGGAACGAAAGCAUGGGUAGCGAAGAGGAUUAGAUACCCUCGUAGUCCAUGCCGUAAACGAUGUGUGUUAGACGUUGGAAAUUUAUUUUCAGUGUCGCAGGGAAACCGAUAAACACACCGCCUGGGGAGUACGACCGCAAGGUUAAAACUCAAAUGAAUUGACGGGGACCCGCACAAGUAGUGGAGCAUGUGGUUUAAUUCGAAGAUACGCGCAGAACCUUACCAACACUUGACAUGUUCGUCGCGACUCUAAGAGAUUAGAGUUUUCGGUUCGGCCGGACGAAACACAGGUGCUGCAUGGCUGUCGUCAGCUCGUGUCGUGAGAUGUUGGGUUAAGUCCCGCAACGAGCGCAACCCUCACUUUUAGUUGCCAUCAUUAAGUUGGGCACUCUGAAAGAACUGCCAGUGAUAAGCUGGAGGAAGGUGGGGAUGACGUCAAGUCCUCAUGGCCCUUACGUGUUGGGCUACACACGUGCUACAAUGGCAUCUACAACAGGAAGCAAAACGGCAACGUUAAGCAAAUCCCGAAAAGAUGCCUCAGUUCGGAUUGCACUCUGCAACUCGAGUGCAUGAAGCUGGAAUUACUAGUAAUCGUGGAUCAGCGUGCCACGGUGAAUGCGUUCCCGGGUCUUGUACACACCGCCCGUCACACCAUGGGAGUUGGUUCUACCUUAAGGCAAGGUUUUAAACCCUUGACCACGGUAUAGUCAGCGACUGGGGUGAAGUCGUAACAAGGUAGCCGUAGGGGAACCUGCGGCUGGAUUACCUCCUUUCUAAGGAUGAGUGAAAGUAAAAUUUCACUCUAAAUAAUAUACAUCGGUAAUGUUGACCGUCCUCAUUUCUCUUCUUAAAGUAAUGUUUCCUUCUUGUAGGGCCGGUAGCUCAGUUGGUUAGAGCACACCCUUGAUAAGGGUGGGGUCGAAAGUUCGAGUCUUUCUCGGCCCACCAAAAACCUAAAUGGGGGAUUAGCUCAUCUGGGAGAGCGCCUGAUUUGCAUUCAGGAGGUAGCAGGUUCGAUCCCUGUAUCCUCCACCAGGAAACAUUUAGUUAUUAAAACUGUAAAUAAAAAUAAUUUAUAUCAAUAUCUAUAUCCGAACAUUAAAAGUUAUUAUUUAAUGUUCAAAAUAAAAAUUUGAUCACAACAUAGAUAAAUUUUCUUUAAAAAGAAUUUUUUUCUGUGCAUAAAUCAAGCGUUUAAGGGCGUGUAGUGGAUGCCUUGGCACUGAAAGCCGAUGAAGGACGUGAUAUACUGCGAUGAGUUUCGGGGAGCUGUAUGUAAGCUUUGAUCCGAAAAUUU
RNAcentral lists this small RNA (1518 nucleotides) under uncultured Arctic sea ice bacterium. Its description in RNAcentral is "bacterial SSU rRNA". The stretch from base 1 to 994 matches the Rfam family "Bacterial small subunit ribosomal RNA", at positions 528 to 1533 of the family's 1533-position model. The record is from RNAcentral.